CCUACGGGUGGCUGCAGUCGAGAAUCUUCGGCAAUGGACGCAAGUCUGACCGAGCGACGCCGCGUGCGGGAUGAAGGCCUUCGGGUUGUAAACCGCUGUCGUAGGGGAACAAAUUUACGGGGGUUCUCCCUCGUAAUCGAGUGAUCCUAGGAGGAAGGAGAGGCUAAGCUCGUGCCAGCAGCCGCGGUAAGACGAGCUCUCCAAACGUUAUUCGGUAUUACUGGGCUUAAAGAGUUCGUAGGCGGUCUGGUAGGUGAGGUGUGAAAUCCCCCGGCUCAACCGGGGAACUGCGCUUCAAACCGCCGGACUUGAGGGAGACAGAGGUGGGCGGAACAGAUGGUGGAGCGGUGAAAUGCGUUGAUAUCAUCUGGAACACCGGUGGCGAAAGCGGCCCACUGGGUCUUUUCUGACGCUGAGGAACGAAAGCUAGGGUAGCGAACGGGAUUAGAUACCCCAGUAGUC
Molecule: ribosomal RNA, 462 nt
Filed under: uncultured Planctomycetota bacterium
Lineage: Bacteria; Pseudomonadati; Planctomycetota
Description: bacterial SSU rRNA
Rfam family: Bacterial small subunit ribosomal RNA
Source: RNAcentral